Molecule: non-coding RNA, 45 nt
Filed under: Schistosoma margrebowiei
Lineage: Eukaryota; Metazoa; Platyhelminthes; Trematoda; Strigeidida; Schistosomatidae
Source: RNAcentral
GCCCAGCUGACGAGUCCCAAAUGGGACGAAACGUGCGUCCUGAAU